ACAGAUACUUUAUAUGGUACAUGUACAUGUACAUAGUUGCAUAUACAUAAUGAACAGCUUUACAUGUACUGUACCGUACCCUUGCGAAAAUACACCCACCCUUUUCUGCAAGAAGUUUAGGCUUAUUAGGGGACUGGGCGUUUAAUCGCGAAUGGCGAGUUUUUAUUUAAAUAUACGCCCACUCGCGGCCUCAAAUCGAGGUUUAAGCUUAUACUUUGCCUAUGACAAUUCUUUAUUGUAUUUUCAUUUUAGUAAGAACAUUUCAUUGACAACAACAAUGUUAUAAAUUAAUGCAUGAGUAUGAUUAAAGCAUGACAAGAGAAUGAACAUGAAUAAGUGGACUCUGACUCUGUUCGUUGCUUGUGUCGAUGUCAGAUGCAGCAUAAACUUCCCAAAGGAGGAUGGUAGGUCAUACUCCUACAGAGCAGCUAUCAGGUACUUUGUUUCAGAAAACCAAGGCAAGGCAACGUGCAAAAUUGGCCUGUGUGAUAACUUUCUUGGACUUUGUGUUUUCUUUUCCCUGCAUGUAUGUAAUCUUGUAGGACUACUUGUUCCCUGCAUAUACAUCUUCAAGGGCAAACAGAUCCUUACAGAGAAAGUUAUAUGUCUAAUCUUGGUCCAGCAAGGAGUAUAGUCUAAGACUCCUACUAGCUACUACCUAAAACUUCACUAUUAAUUUUAGUAAACAUGUGGCAUUCAGCUACUGCGCAUGCUCAACUCUUCAUUCUGGGUGGGCUUAUAAUCGAGUGAAAAUACCGUCGUGCAAGAACUUCGAAGCAAAAGAGGGGAUGGGCGUUUAUUCAAGAUGGGUAUAUUUUCGCGAGGGUACGGUAUACCUAUACCUCAGUUGCUGUCAUUUGUACCUAUAGUACCCGACUAGAAAAACGUUGCCCAGGGGAAACACCAAAACAUGUGAAAAUGAAAGCACCGUGGGAUCACUUCAGCUGCAAAUACAUGUACAGUGCAUCCAGUUUAGAGAGUAGAUUACCACAAAUAAAUUAUGUGAGUGGCUGUACUUGAUAUCUUUUGAUUGGUUAAGAAAUGGUGCUGAUACCAUUGUGUAUAGGUGAAUGAAUAAGCUACAAUAUAUCCCAAAAAUUAUGAAAACAUGAGGUGGUGGGUCGUGGGUUUGGGGGGAUUAAUAAGAACAACAGUAAAUAAUUAUUGUUGUAGUGGGUAAUCGGUUAAAGUAAUAAAACACUAACCUUAAACAGUUAAGGUCUCAGACUUUAUAAGACAAUUGUUUGAUGGUUUAGAUAUCCUGGCUAUCCUUCAUGAGUCUUAUAUAUGUUCACAGUGCCUAUAAUUCAUGAUUUACUGGUUUUCAGGUGUACUUUUCAGGGAAAAAUUUGAGGCCACGCCAACUUCCGGUCACCACACCCUAUAUUGUUUGUUGUUCGUGCCUAUAGCGAUGUACUCCUGGCAAUGUGCAUUGACAGGCAACUCUAUAUAACUUGGUAUGCUGGUUUGAAAUUGUGGACCGUAUCCAUAGAACACUAUAGAAACCACAAAAGUAACGAAUAGAUCAAGACAUCAACAGCUGCAAACCACACAACCAAUGAUGGAGCUGGAUGCACUGUAUGUAGAUCUAUCUCAAACGCCUCGGGUAAUAAAGCUACUAGCUAUGCUAAUACACACAUGAUACAUGUAUCAUGAUGCACACGUUUGUACUAAAUUUGCUGCAUGCAAAACUCGGAAUGAUCGACCAUGAUUGUUGCUAAAAAGGAUCGAUGCCAAAGUCCAAGUCUAGAAUCAAUGGCUGCAUCAGCAGAGCCUUGCAGCUCUCUUCUCACUCUUGUAGCCAGUGCAGAGCUAACUACUAUAUUAUAGAGUAGCAACACUGUAUAGACAAGUUUUGCUCUUCUGAAAAGGCGAUGACAUAAUUAUUUUCACAGGUAGAUUUGUUUGUGUUUUUACAGUUUUGUACAUUUGCUGGUAUAAUUUUUUGCGAAAUGUCGAUCUGGAUACAUUAAACAAGAGGGCGGCCAAUUAUUUGCGAGUACUAAUUUUUGCGAUUUUACUCUCAUUCGCAGAAAUAGCAGAAUUAAUACACGCGAAAAUAUGUCACCUUAAACGAGCAUGCUGACUAUAAAAAGGUGUGCUGUGGGCAGCUCCGACCGGAAGCAACCAAAAAAUGACAAAAUGGCAACAAUGAAUUUUCUUGAGUCUUGCAAAAAGACGCCCUUGACAGUUAUAAUGCACAUUCUUUACAUUUUUACAUUCUUCUUUUGAUACGCCUUCUUCCGCUCUCUCACAAGAUAGUAGACACAAACUAAAAACAAAAAAUGGCUGUCAAAAGUAUUUCAAGAAGUCUGUUCUCAACCUCAAAAGAAGCCUACUGGGGGUUCCACAGGAGCUAAAAUUCGAGACUGAAGAUACCAAGCAAGUCUUUGUAGGUAUAAUUGACAGUGCUAAGCGCAGUCUUGCUGCCAGAGAUUCAUUGGCCCAACAUGAGGAUCUGACAAACUGAUGCUAUUGUUGAAGAUGUGGACAUAAAUAACUCAAGUCGCGUUGAAGGACGCUUUGAAGGACUGCGACUGCCUUUGCUUGUUGACAGUCUCCCUGGGUACACCAUCAACCUAUGUAGAAAAUAAUCGAACUUUUGGUGAAUUUCCACAAUGGCACAUUUUCAAUGCCGUCUA
Long non-coding RNA from Halichondria panicea, 2642 nucleotides. RefSeq lists it as uncharacterized. The record is from RefSeq and is a predicted model, not a curated record. The transcript is spliced from 3 exons. Lineage: Eukaryota; Metazoa; Porifera; Demospongiae; Suberitida; Halichondriidae.